GUCGUCUGCAUAAAUAACGCAGUGACUGCCAUCACGCGGACCUGUUUGGAUCUGUCCAAAUGAAUCAUGAAAAUAUGCUGGAUGCUUUCCGCGGCUACUAGCGCUAGUGAAGGAUACGUAAUAGGCAAAAAAUAGUGUUGUUCAAAAUCUGACCAAAGAGAAGGAUAGUUGAACAAUAGACGUUUGUUGCAAACUACAUGGUGCUUCAUGCAGCUGGGUGUGGGAUCUGUUGUAGAUGGCCUGAAAAAGCGUGAUUAGCAAAAGACGAUUCGUAGCGGGGAGCAAGGCGGUAGAACGAAAUCGAGGGUGAAACGAAGAUUACGGCCGCGGGGCAAAAUGCCUCGAGAGCGAAAAACAUCGACGAGCCAUCUAUUCAAAUCGAUCGGAAGGAAGCUAGCUAGCUCACCAGUCAGUCGCACUCACCGACGACGAGUACACCAAAGCAGCUUUUACUUCAUCUCGCUUAGUUCUCUUCUUGAAGACGGCCGUUUCUAUGAAAUGGGUUUUUUUUCCUGGGCACAGCGUUGAUUUGGGGUGCAAACUUCAAACGUAGUUUGAGUGUCGAAAGCUCAUAGCUGAAAUAGCAGACGGCUGACAACAAACCCAAUACGGUCCUGUUCGUGAUUUGCGCUAAGAAUGCUGAAACAUUAUGGAGCCCAGA
This is a long non-coding RNA of Varroa destructor (honeybee mite), 661 nucleotides long. The record is from RefSeq and is a predicted model, not a curated record. Lineage: Eukaryota; Metazoa; Arthropoda; Arachnida; Mesostigmata; Varroidae.